Molecule: small RNA, 437 nt
Filed under: Oryza sativa Japonica Group (Japanese rice)
Lineage: Eukaryota; Viridiplantae; Streptophyta; Magnoliopsida; Poales; Poaceae
Description: sRNA Os01g0698500
Source: RNAcentral
AGGCCUUCCUUCCUUGCUUGCUCCCUAGCUUCUCUCAGCUCACACACACAGCUCAAGCAAGCGGGAGGACGUCGAGGGCCAACCGAGUAAAUGGCCGCGGAUGGGGUCGGCCAGGCUUCCCCAAGGCCUCCAUGGCCUCCUAAGGAGCGCGAGGUGGACUCGGAGGGGAAGGCCCCGUGUCCACGUUGAUCACCUCAGAGCAGCCUGGUGUAUCCACCGAUCGUGACGCCUGCUCGCACGCACGCGAAGGAGGAGGGCAUGGCUGGAGGGGAGAGGAGAUGGGAAUGAAGCCGUAUUGGUCCGGGAAGCGUAUACAUAGGAGUAUUUUUGUGUAAGAUCGAGAAAUACGUACCAGAUAAAAAGUCUCAGUUUUCGGGUAGAGGGGAGGUAAUUAAACUGGCAAUCUUAGCUAAUGCAAAUUCUUUUUUCGAUCGAUC